RNAcentral lists this ribosomal RNA (143 nucleotides) under Harknessia eucalypti. RNAcentral describes it as "partial 18S ribosomal RNA". It matches the Rfam family "Eukaryotic small subunit ribosomal RNA", at positions 1690 to 1830 of the family's 1831-position model. Lineage: Eukaryota; Fungi; Ascomycota; Sordariomycetes; Diaporthales; Harknessiaceae. The record is from RNAcentral.
UUGAUGGUUCAGUGAGGCUUUCGGACUGGCCCAGGGAGGUCGGCAACGACCACCCAGGGCCGGAAAGUUAUCCAAACUCGAUCAUUUAGAGGAAGUAAAAGUCGUAACAAGGUCUCCGUUGGUGAACCAGCGGAGGGAUCAUU